Molecule: non-coding RNA, 510 nt
Organism: Paramuricea clavata
Lineage: Eukaryota; Metazoa; Cnidaria; Anthozoa; Malacalcyonacea; Plexauridae
Source: the annotation of a GenBank genome assembly
AUCAAAUUCACUGUAGCAAUUUAAUUGUUGUUUUUUUAUUGAUACUCAAAGGUGGCAAAAUAACAAACAAUUAAUUGAUUGAAGGAUUCUCAAAAAAAAUCCGAAAAAAUCCAACUUAUUAUUACCUUGCAUUAUCACUCUACAUUAUAAUUCAUACGCGUUUUUUCCAGAAUGUCUUUAUACCAGAAAACCACUAUAUUAAUAUGGUCUUACAAUCUGAAAUAGAAUUCUUCCUUACUCUUACUGUGUUGCAUAUUUAUUUGACAUCCCAAUAUGGGAAAGUGCGGAUUGAAUAAACAGUUCAUUUAAGAAUUUGGGAGGUGUCUGGCUGCAUGACUGCUGUUUUAAUAUCUUUAAUUAUCUUCUAUAAGAAAUAUUACUCUAAUUAUUCUAUCCCAUAUAACUGUUCCUAUAAAUUGAUAACUUAACUACAGUAUAUAUAUCAUUCAUCAAACAAAAUAUACAAGAUGACUCCCUAGUCCUGCAAUGGGGAUGGGGCUACACCAGGAU